GAUGAAGAACUUAGCGAAAUGCGAUAAGUAGUGUGAAUUGCAGAAUUCAGUGAAUCAUCGAAUCUUUGAACGCACAUUGCGCCCCUUGGUAUUCCAUGGGGCAUGCCUGUUCGAGCGUCAUUUGUACCUUCAAGCUCUGCUUGGUGUUGGGUGUUUGUCUCGCCUCUGCGUGUAGACUCGCCUCAAAAUAAUUGGCAGCCGGCGUAUUGAUUUCGGAGCGCAGUACAUCUCGCGCUUUGCACUCAUAACGACGACGUCCAAAAGUACAUUUUUACACUCUUGACCUCGGAUCAGGUAGGGAUACCCGCUGAACUUAAGCAUAUCAAUAAGCGGAGGA
This 337-nucleotide unclassified non-coding RNA is filed under the name soil metagenome. RNAcentral's name for it is "partial contains 5.8S ribosomal RNA, internal transcribed spacer 2, and large subunit ribosomal RNA". The stretch from base 1 to 120 matches the Rfam family "5.8S ribosomal RNA", at positions 35 to 154 of the family's 154-position model. The record is from RNAcentral.